RNAcentral lists this ribosomal RNA (460 nucleotides) under uncultured bacterium. RNAcentral's name for it is "partial 16S ribosomal RNA". It matches the Rfam family "Bacterial small subunit ribosomal RNA", at positions 338 to 795 of the family's 1533-position model. The record is from RNAcentral.
CCUACGGGUGGCUGCAGUGAGGAAUAUUGGUCAAUGGGCGCGAGCCUGAACCAGCCAAGUAGCGUGAAGGAUGACUGCCCUACGGGUUGUAAAUUUCUUUUAUAAAGGAAUAAAGUGAGGCGCGUGUGCCUUUUUGUAUGUACUUUAUCAAUAAGGAUCGGCCAACUCCGUGCCAGCAGCCGCGGUAAUACGCAGGAUCCGAUCGUUAUCCGGAUUGAUUGGGUUUAAAGGGAGCGUAGAUGGGUUGUUAAGUCAGUUGUGAAAGUUUGCGGCUCAACCGUAAAAUUGCAAUUGAUACUGGCAGUCUUGAGUACAGUUGAGGCAGGCGGAAUUCGUGGUGUAGCGGUGAAAUGCGUAGAUAUCACGAAGAACUCCGAUGGUGAAGGCAGCUUACUAAACAGCUACUGACAUUGAGGCGCGAAAGUGUGGGUAUCAAACAGGAUUAGAUACCCCAGUAGUC